AUUAAGAUAACUUAAUCGGUAGAGUAGUGGAAUCAUAAUCCAUUUGUUAUGGGUUCAAGUCCCAUUCUUGAUA
This 73-nucleotide transfer RNA is filed under the name Synura synuroidea. RNAcentral describes it as "tRNA-Met". It matches the Rfam family "tRNA". From Rfam's summary of the family: Transfer RNA (tRNA) molecules are approximately 80 nucleotides in length. Their secondary structure includes four short double-helical elements and three loops (D, anti-codon, and T loops). The record is from RNAcentral. Lineage: Eukaryota; Synurophyceae; Synurales; Mallomonadaceae.